AUGACGACGCGUAUCGCGCCCGGCGUGGGCGCGAACCUCCUCGGGCAGCACUCGGCGGAGCGCAACCAGGACGCCACCACCUACGUCGGCAACCUCGACCCGCAGGUUUCUGAGGAAUUACUGUGGGAGUUGUUUGUCCAAGCAGGCCCUGUUGUUAAUGUCUAUGUCCCGAAAGACAGAGUUACAAAUCUACACCAGGGCUAUGGGUUUGUAGAAUUUAGGAGUGAGGAAGAUGCAGAUUAUGCUAUUAAGAUUUUGAACAUGCUCAAAUUGUACGGAAAGCCAAUAAGAGUAAACAAGGCUUCCCAAGACAAGAAGAGCUUGGAUGUGGGUGCGAAUCUUUUUAUUGGCAAUCUUGAUCCGGAAGUCGAUGAGAAGCUUCUCUAUGAUACCUUCAGUGCAUUUGGUGUGAUUGUGACCAACCCUAAGAUAAUGCGGGACCCUGAAACUGGAAAUUCUCGAGGUUUUGGCUUUGUGAGCUAUGAUUCCUUUGAAUCAUCUGAUCAAGCUAUAGAGGCCAUGAACAACCAGCAUUUAUGUAAUCGGCCAAUCACUGUCUCAUAUGCUUACAAGAAAGACACGAAAGGAGAGCGCCAUGGCACACCAGCAGAGAGGUUGCUUGCAGCGAACAACCCAGGAUCUCAGAAGCAUAGGCCACACACAAUGUUUGCAACUGCUCCGCCAACCCAAGGGCUUCAAAACGGUGGUGUUGGUGCACCUGUGCCACGGCCUUUUGCCAAUGGGAAUGUCCCAGGACAGAUGCAACAUGUCAGACCGCCGCCGCCACCUGUUGGUCAAUACCCUCCCAUGCAGAUGCAUGGACAGCCUGCCUGGCCUGGUCCUCCACAGAAUAUGCAACAAGUACCACCUCCGAUGCAACAGCAGCUUCAAUACAGGCUUCCAGGGAUGCCCCCGCCGCCGCAAAACAUGAUGCCCCCACCGCAAAACAUGAUGCCGCCACCUCAUCACAUGGCCAGGCUGCCGCCGCCACCUCCCAAUAUGCAAGCUCCACCUAUGUGGAGGCCACCCCCAUCCCCACAACAAGGUGGUGGAAUGCCGCCACCUCCAAUGUCCAUGCCACCUCCUCCACCGCCACCUUCUGGUUAA
RNAcentral lists this ribosomal RNA (1107 nucleotides) under Triticum aestivum (bread wheat). Its description in RNAcentral is "partial small subunit ribosomal RNA". Lineage: Eukaryota; Viridiplantae; Streptophyta; Magnoliopsida; Poales; Poaceae. The record is from RNAcentral.